GACGAACGCUGGCGGCGUGCCUAAUACAUGCAAGUCGAGCGGACGGAUGGGAGCUUGCUCCCAGACCGUCAGCGGCGGACGGGUGAGUAACACGUGGGCAACCUGCCUGUAAGACUGGGAUAACUCCGGGAAACCGGGGCUAAUACCGGAUAACUCUUUCCCUCCCAUGAGGGCAAGCUGAAAGAUGGCAUCUCGCUAUCACUUACAGCUGGGCCCGCGGCGCAUUAGCUAGUUGGUGAGGUAACGGCUCACCAAGGCGACGAUGCGUAGCCGACCUGAGAGGGUGAUCGGCCACACUGGGACUGAGACACGGCCCAGACUCCUACGGGAGGCAGCAGUAGGGAAUCUUCCGCAAUGGACGAAAGUCUGACGGAGCAACGCCGCGUGAGUGAUGAAGGUUUUCGGAUCGUAAAACUCUGUUGUCAGGGAAGAACAAGUACCGGAGUAACUGCCGGUACCUUGACGGUACCUGAACAGAAAGCCACGGCUAACUACGUG
Molecule: ribosomal RNA, 498 nt
Filed under: uncultured bacterium
Lineage: Bacteria
Description: partial 16S ribosomal RNA
Rfam family: Bacterial small subunit ribosomal RNA
Source: RNAcentral